ACCUCGUGGCAGACUCAAGAGGUAUAACCCUCACCCAGAGAACUUUCUGGAAAAUUAACUGAGUGCGUACUUGCUUAAAGGGCACUGUGCUUGGAGAUCAGGACAAAAAGGCCAUUAUCAGAAAAGCUAAGUUUGCUGUAUAAUAAGGAUCAGAAGAUCUGAUCCUGAUUACAGAAUCUUAGGUUGUGACUCCCCCCAUCCUUCCAGACCAUCCCAGAAGAGCUAUAAGACUGCAUCUGAGAAAACACUAGGAGUUCUUGGAAGAGCAAGAAGGAAGAGGAUUAUGUAAGUCAAAGGAAUUGUUGCAUCUGUCACACCUGGU
Molecule: long non-coding RNA, 322 nt
Filed under: Rhinolophus ferrumequinum (greater horseshoe bat)
Lineage: Eukaryota; Metazoa; Chordata; Mammalia; Chiroptera; Rhinolophidae
Description: lncRNA (ENSRFEG00010000560.1)
Source: RNAcentral